RNAcentral lists this ribosomal RNA (612 nucleotides) under uncultured soil bacterium. Its description in RNAcentral is "bacterial SSU rRNA". It matches the Rfam family "Bacterial small subunit ribosomal RNA", at positions 44 to 650 of the family's 1533-position model. The record is from RNAcentral.
AUGCUUUACACAUGCAANUCGAACGGGGUGAGGGGGCAACUUCUCAUUCAGUGGCGAACGGGUGAGUAAUGCAUCGGAACGUGUCCCGUAGUGGGGGAUAACGCCGCGAAAGCGGCGCUAAUACCGCAUACGCUCUGUGGAGGAAAGCAGGGGACCCGCGAGGGCCUUGUGCUAGGGGGGCGGCCGAUGUCCGAUUAGCUAGUUGGUGGGGUAAUGGCUUACCAAGGCGACGAUCGGUAGCUGGUCUGAGAGGAUGAUCAGCCACACUGGGACUGAGACACGGCCCAGACUCCUACGGGAGGCAGCAGUGGGGAAUUUUGGACAAUGGGGGCAACCCUGAUCCAGCCAUGCCGCGUGCGGGAAGAAGGCCUUCGGGUUGUAAACCGCUUUUAGCCGGGAAGAAAAGGAUACGGAUAACACCCGUAUUUUUUGACGGUACCGGCGGAAUAAGCACCGGCUAACUACGUGCCAGCAGCCGCGGUAAUACGUAGGGUGCGAGCGUUAAUCGGAAUUACUGGGCGUAAAGCGUGCGCAGGCGGUUCGUUGUGUCGGCGGUGAAAGCCCCGGGCUCAACCUGGGGAAUGGCCGUUGAAACUGGCGAACUGGAGUGUG